Rhodamnia argentea is the source of this 519-nucleotide long non-coding RNA. RefSeq lists it as uncharacterized. Lineage: Eukaryota; Viridiplantae; Streptophyta; Magnoliopsida; Myrtales; Myrtaceae. The transcript is spliced from 3 exons. The record is from RefSeq and is a predicted model, not a curated record.
UCGUCGCUCCAGGAGCUCGACAUUUGUAGUUCCGUAGGAAUCGAUUUAUCGUGCCAAGAAAACGAGCAUGGCACCCUAUGGCGAUUCCUUACAAAGCUACGUGUCCUUAAAAUCUCGUAUCUUACGGAUUUGGUGGCAUUACCCGAGGAGAUUCAACAUGUCAUGGCUCUACAAUCUCUCGAGAUUUAUCACUGUCAAGAAUCGAGGAGUUUGCCUCAAUGGAUUGGAAAUUUCUCUUCGCUCGAAAAGAUUGUAUUAUCUAACCGUGAAAGUUUAGAGCGUUUGCCGUUUGAGAUGCGCAACCUCGCGCGCUUGAAGGAAAUACGAAUCCGCAAUUGUCCCGCUUUGAAGGAGAGUUGCCUAACAGAUGGCCACGAAGAUUGGCCAAAGAUUGCGCACAUUCCGGUCAUUGUUUGGGAGGAUUACUUGGAUGAAUCUGACUAUUAGCAUAGCAGGUAGGUGAAAAGACUAUCACCUAUCAUGUGUUCCUUUCAAUUAUUUACUUCUUCCGUUAACUAA